GGGAGGAAAAGCUGGCGGGAGCCUACAAUGCAAGUCGAGGGGUAACGGAAGUAGCUUGCUGCUAGACGAUUACCGGCGCACGGGUGAGUAACGCGUAUGUAAUCUGCCUUGUACAGAGGGAUAGCCCAGAGAAAUUUGGAUUAAUACCUCAUAGUAUUACUGAAUCGCAUGAUUUGGUAAUUAAAGCUCCGGCGGUACAAGAUGAACAUGCGUGACAUUAGCUAGUUGGUAAGGUAACGGCUUACCAAGGCUACGAUGUCUAGGGGUUCUGAGAGGAUGAUCCCCCACACUGGUACUGAGACACGGACCAGACUCCUACGGGAGGCAGCAGUGAGGAAUAUUGGUCAAUGGACGCAAGUCUGAACCAGCCAUCCCGCGUGGAGGAUGACUGCCCUAUGGGUUGUAAACUUCUUUUAUAUGCAAAUAAACCUACUUUCGUGAAAGUAGCUGAAGGUAGCAUAUGAAUAAACACCGGCUAACUCCGUGCCAGCAGCCGCGGUAAUACGGAGGGUGUAAGCGUUAUCCGGAUUUACUGGGUUUAAAGGGUACGUAGGCGGUAAUAUAAGUCAGUGGUGAAAUCCUGCAGCUCAACUGUAGAACUGCCAUUGAAACUGUAUUACUUGAGUAUACUUGAGGUCGGCGGGAUGAGUAGUGUAGCGGUGAAAUGCUUAGAUAUUACUCAGAACACCGAUUGCGAAGGCCGCUUACAAGGUAUAACUGACGCUGAUGUACGAAAAGCGUGCGGAGCGAACAGGAUUAGAUACCCUGGUAGUCCACGCCGUAACGAUGAUUACUCCCCUGUUGGCGAUACCAGUCAGUGGCUAAACGAAAGUUUUAAUAAUCCACCUGGGGAGUACGCUCGC
Molecule: ribosomal RNA, 863 nt
Filed under: uncultured bacterium
Lineage: Bacteria
Description: bacterial SSU rRNA
Rfam family: Bacterial small subunit ribosomal RNA
Source: RNAcentral